CCUACGGGAGGCAGCAGUGGGGAAUAUUGCACAAUGGGGGAAACCCUGAUGCAGCGACGCCGCGUGAGUGAAGAAGUAAUUCGUUACGUAAAGCUCUAUCAGCAGGGAAGAAAAACUGACCUUACGGUCAGCAGACGGUACCUGAGUAAGAAGCCCCGGCUAACUACGUGCCAGCAGCCGCGGUAAUACGUAGGGGGCACGCGUUAUCCGGAUGUACUGGGUGUAAAGAGGGCGUAGACGGUGCGGCAAGUCAGGAGUGAAAUGCCGCGGCUUAACUGCGGAACUGCUUUGGAAACUGGCGAUCGAGAGUGCGGGAGAGGUAAGCGGAAUUCCUGGUGUAGCGGUGAAAUGCGUAGAUAUUAGGAGGAACACCGGUGGCGAAGGCGGCUUACUGGACCGUAACUGACGUUGAGGCUCGAAAGCGUGGGGAGCAAACAGGAUUAGAUACCCGGGUAGUC
Molecule: ribosomal RNA, 458 nt
Filed under: uncultured bacterium
Lineage: Bacteria
Description: partial 16S ribosomal RNA
Rfam family: Bacterial small subunit ribosomal RNA
Source: RNAcentral